AUCUUGUCCAACACAUCCUGCUAAUAUCUCUCCGUUCAACAUCUAGCAAACUUCAUACCCCCUUUGCAUUCGACUUUUGUCUUCUGUCCUCAUCCUCUUUGAGUAGAAGGCAGAUAUCAAAUUGAAAUAUCCAUAUCACGUUUCUUCUUAGAAACCCCCGUUGAACCGAACAAACUCGCAACCAUGGAAGCAGAGAAAACCUCUUCCCUCUUGAAAAAAUCUUCUAGAAAGACCUCUCCAUUCUCCCCCUAUCGUGGGACACUCUUCUAUCAAGCUGAAUCAAGCUCACAUAACCGCGCAUCCAGCACAAUACCCCUUACACUAUCUCCACCACCUUCCAGCUCUGAGAUCUCUAGCUUGGAUAUUCAAGAGAAGACUCCUGGCAGAAAAGUGUCUCCUCUUUCUCUCCCUCCCCCAUUGGUACGCGUCAAAACACCAACUCCGGUUCCAACAGCAUCAAAAAGCACUGCACCACCACCCUGUUAUCCGCCAACAAAAGCAGCACAUACCAAUUUCAAGGAGAUUCUCAUCCACACGGCAAAGUGCGACAAAUGCAACAAGCAUAAUAAAGCAACAUUGCAACGCUGCACGACUUGUGGAUUCCAGAUUUGCACACCGUGCUGGCUUAAUAGGGGCGGCGGGCAGCAUACGGUCACGCGGGUGUUCAAGGGACCCGUAUUCAAUCCUAAUGCGGUAGAUGAAGAGAAUGUGGAUGAGUGGGAUGAUGAAGGGGAUGGAGUAGAAGAUACCGAUGACCAGAUGUCUCAUGAAAGUGACGAUGUCGAUGACAAUGACUCCGAUGUGAUGACAGUGUCAGAAUAUAAAAACAACGACACAAUGAUAAAGACCGAUGAUUCUGACGAUGUCUUUUCGAUCCAUUCGAUCGACAAGCAUGAUGGCUCUUCCUCUCCCUUAAACUGCAAAAACAGAUGUUUGGAUAUCUCCCACCGAGCAGGUCAGACAGGGGAAGCCGCCUGCCCCGUGUACUCGUACAGCAGCGACAUCCCAGACCCCGGCUCUGAGGAUUGCAAUGGCGCGAAUGAGCUGCCAGCAUAUCAAACUGACCGCGCGCGACCGAUUGCUCGUCGAUACCCCUAUAGCUCCCUGACCAGCCAGGACGAGAACGACUCCAGAGGUGACGGGGUUGCUACGGGGAUAAGCUGCCAAAAUGCCAGAGACAUGGACAAGAACCGCCGCUAUUACAGCGACCUGGCUCUCGAGUCCCGCGAACGGAUCGAUGUCCUUAUCAGCACGGCCAUGAGCCUAUUUGAAGAUGCCGCCUUCGAUCCCUGCCAAAACCGAACCACAGAUCCGCCCUCCGCCCACAACCUCCACUCCCCCCUCUUCGUCCCCAUUGGCCCAGACGACCAGCUCACACCCGCGCAUAACGAGCGCCUCUCGCGCGCCAACAGCCAUCCCAGCUCUAGUCUCAGAAUUAGCCGC
Molecule: small RNA, 1443 nt
Filed under: Histoplasma ohiense
Lineage: Eukaryota; Fungi; Ascomycota; Eurotiomycetes; Onygenales; Ajellomycetaceae
Description: hypothetical lncRNA
Source: RNAcentral